Molecule: ribosomal RNA, 610 nt
Filed under: Prevotella sp. HGA0218
Lineage: Bacteria; Pseudomonadati; Bacteroidota; Bacteroidia; Bacteroidales; Prevotellaceae
Also listed under: 1 other name
Description: bacterial SSU rRNA
Rfam family: Bacterial small subunit ribosomal RNA
Source: RNAcentral
GUAACGCGUAUCCAACCUGCCUCUGACUGAGGGAUAACCCGUCGAAAGUCGGCCUAAUACCUCAUGGCAUCGUCUGCGGGCAUCCAACGACGAUUAAAGAUUUCAUCGGUCAGGGAUGGGGAUGCGUCUGAUUAGCUUGUUGGCGGGGUAACGGCCCACCAAGGCUACGAUCAGUAGGGGUUCUGAGAGGAAGGUCCCCCACAUUGGAACUGAGACACGGUCCAAACUCCUACGGGAGGCAGCAGUGAGGAAUAUUGGUCAAUGGGCGGGAGCCUGAACCAGCCAAGUAGCGUGCAGGAUGACGGCCCUAUGGGUUGUAAACUGCUUUUAUGCGGGGAUAAAGUGAGGGACGUGUCCUUCAUUGCAGGUACCGCAUGAAUAAGGACCGGCUAAUUCCGUGCCAGCAGCCGCGGUAAUACGGAAGGUCCGGGCGUUAUCCGGAUUUAUUGGGUUUAAAGGGAGCGUAGGCCGUGGAUUAAGCGUGUUGUGAAAUGCAGGUGCUCAACGUCUGCACUGCAGCGCGAACUGGUCCACUUGAGUGUGCGCAACGCAAGCGGAAUUCGUCGUGUAGCGGUGAAAUGCUUAGAUAUGACGAAGAACUCCGAUUGCG